This 271-nucleotide long non-coding RNA is filed under the name Gallus gallus (chicken). Lineage: Eukaryota; Metazoa; Chordata; Aves; Galliformes; Phasianidae. The record is from RNAcentral.
UGGCCAUCUCAGGAGGUAUGCACAGGACUCUUGCUCAAGCACCCAGGAAUGUCACGUAGGCAGCAGAAAAUGGAGAAUAAAAGAGGGUCCAAUAACCACAACGGUGGAAGCUGAUCCUUCACCACAACCACCGCAACGUGUAGACGGAUCUCUACGUGGAGACUGAUCUCUCACCACGACACGAGCUUCCUGCCUUCCGAUCCUCCUCUACGGACCGUUUGCUGACGGACUUCCCUGGGCCUGCUACCUGAGACCUGCUGCUUCCUCCCUG